UUUUUAAUAGUAUCUGAGUAACUAAAUUAAAAGAAAUUAAGAAGUUAAGAAUAUAAAACCUAUGAGAAACACUUAAUCCUAUGGAAGAGAAAGAAAGCACUUGACCAAUGUAGAAUGAUUAGAGAUAAAAGGUGUACUAGUAGGAAUCCUACAAUUAGUAGCUAUAAUAAUAAUGACUAUAUGAGAUCAUAGUUAUGUAUGAGUGUGUAGAUAAAAACACACUCAAACUGAAGUAUAAUCACACAUAAACACUAAAUACUAUGAGUACUAGAAAAAAAUAUAUAAAACAUAUCAAAUAAAAUAGUUGAAGGUAUAAAAAAAGUAUAAAGGGUAUUUUAAAAAAAUACUUCAGAAUGACAAUAAUAAGUUACAACAAAUGAUAAUAAUAUUAGUAUUCUUCAUUUUACUAUUUUCACAACCUCUAUUUUUCGUACUAUGAUAAGACUUGUAGAUAUAGGUACAUUAUUAAUUGAGUUAGAAUAUGACUAAUAGGAGUUUAACAUAUGAUUCUUAAAUUUUUCUUUGAAGCAAGAUAGACUCUUUGACUGUUUAAUAGCUUAGGUCCUAAGUACAUGAGAGAGUGUUUGAAUAGUGUUAACUUGGGUCUGGGUAUGUAGAGUGAAUGAUGGUGUCGAGUUUGGUAAUUGUGAAUGGGUAGUGUGUUGUGGUUAUUUGAAUUUAUUGUUUUGUACAUGAAUGAUGCAACAAUAAGUUUUGAUAAAUCAGUAAGGUUCAAGAUAUUUAGUUAUUUUGAAUAAAGGUUGAGUAUGUUCAUUGAAAUCACUGUUGGUUAUUAUUCUGAUAACUUUCUUGUGAAGUACAUUAAUUUGAGACAGAUGACAAGGGUAGGUUUGCGACCAGAUAGGAUUACAAUAGGUAAGAUGAGGGUAUAUGUGGGCAUAUACUCUCUCUCUCUCUCUCUCUCUCUCUCUCUCUCUCUCUCUCUCUCACCUAUAUUUUAACCAGUUUUCUUACAACAACCAACAUGCAACAACAAUAGGAUAGAGUGAAAGCAAACACACACACACACACACACACACACACACACAGAUCAUACUCACUCGACACACACUGGGUUAGAUAUACUCUUCCUGAGGCAUUCUUCCCCUCCCCCCCCCCCUCCCUCGCCCCUCUCCACCCCCGUCAGUAGUAGGUCAGUGUGCCUCAUUCUCCUCAGUAGGCCACCCUCAACCCCCCGCGGCAGGCAGACGUCCGCGCUUGACAGAAAGAAAACGCAUUGUAAUCCUGCUGACGUCAUUGCCUCUGAGUCAUCGUCAUCACCAUCAUCAUCAGUUGUCGGGCUCCGGGACCUCCGCCUCCUCGGCCUGCCCUACCCCGGCCUGACGAACGGGGUAGGCGGCGGGUCGGGCACCACUGGAGGAGCCUUCUUGCCCCCCCAGGACCUCUUCCCCAAGGAUUUUCAUGGCUAGCCACGCGUCGUCCACCUGAGAGGAAGAACGAGGUUGGUAAAGCCUCACCUCCCCAUUCGUAACCGAAGUUCCUGUUGAGGUCGACCCCCACACACCUACUGCCGGAGGCCUUGGCCGCGUUCUUCCUCCAGAGGCGAUCCUGCGCAGGGAGGGAGGGAGGGAG
This is a long non-coding RNA of Eriocheir sinensis (Chinese mitten crab), 1593 nucleotides long. RefSeq lists it as uncharacterized. The transcript has 3 exons. NCBI's taxonomy places the organism in Eukaryota, Metazoa, Arthropoda, Malacostraca, Decapoda, Varunidae. The record is from RefSeq and is a predicted model, not a curated record.